RNAcentral lists this ribosomal RNA (253 nucleotides) under uncultured bacterium. Its description in RNAcentral is "partial 16S ribosomal RNA". It matches the Rfam family "Bacterial small subunit ribosomal RNA", at positions 524 to 776 of the family's 1533-position model. The record is from RNAcentral.
UACAGAGGGUGCGAGCGUUAAUCGGAAUUACUAGGCGUAAAGCGCGCGUAGGCGGCUUUGCAAGCCGGAUGUGAAAUCCCCGGGCUUAACCUGGGAACUGCAUUCGGGACUGCAUUGCUAGAGUAUGGGAGAGGGAAGUGGAAUUUCAGGUGUAGCGGUGAAAUGCGUAGAUAUCUGAAGGAACAUCAGUGGCGAAAGCGACUUCCUGGACCAAUACUGACGCUCAUGUGCGAAAGCGUGGGGAGCAAACAGG